UGUAACUGCCCUUCAUCUCUCCCUCUCUUGCACGUAACAAAAUGGUUUUGUUACAUAUAUAUAGAGAGAGAGAGGGAAUUAGGGUUUCCAUGGGUGAAAAACUUCUUUGAAAGGUUGCUUUGCUAAAAGUCUCGAAAAAAAUGUCUUCCAUUUCCAAUAAAGAUCCCUCACAUCCUUUAUACUUGUCCAGAGCUUUGCAAAAAGUCUCUACAAAAUCUCUUCCCUUCUCAAAAUAAAGAUCCCACACAUCCUUGAUACUUAUCCAGAUAGAAUAGCAAGGUCGUCGGGUGGUGGUCUCCAAUGGGUUGGAAGGAUUUUGUUGUUCGUGCAGAAAAGUAUUGGGCUUCAAGUUUUUGGAGAGCAGUUUGGACUUCAAGCCCAAAUAUUUAAGAAGUUAGAGACAUGAAUUUGAUGGUAUACCUUGAAGCUGGAGGUGUGGUCGCAUUGCUUAAGACAUUGUCUUCAGAGAUCCAAUUCCUUGGGAGGUGAAGAUUUGAAGAUGAUGGCAGCUCAUCUUGCAGAUUCAAUCUUGGCUGUUAUAAAAAAUAUAUUUAUAUAAUAUACCAAAUAAAAAAGAUGAAUUUAUAAUAUUAAUUUUCUCUCCCUUUUUAUAAGAUAAGGGACUUAUUUUAGAGUAGUCUUGAGCUUAGAAUAGAGAAUUCCACGAAAAUAUAACUUUACAUUUCGAAGGAUUGGAGUACAAAGGAGAGUUUGAGAUCAAGUAAAGUUAGAGCUAAAAGGUAUGAUCAUAAUAUUUUUGUGCCUUGUGUUGAAACACUAUUAUUAGCUGUCUCGACAUUGCAAAUUCUUUCCCCUCUGAUAUACCACAUGACUGAAGUGUAGAACAUUAACUUUGAAUAGGAAGAAAAUAUUUUAAUUCUUGGUA
Molecule: long non-coding RNA, 886 nt
Organism: Cucumis sativus (cucumber)
Lineage: Eukaryota; Viridiplantae; Streptophyta; Magnoliopsida; Cucurbitales; Cucurbitaceae
Exons: 2
Source: RefSeq, a predicted model, not a curated record